RNAcentral lists this microRNA precursor (59 nucleotides) under Danio rerio (zebrafish). RNAcentral's name for it is "Dre-Mir-8-P1b_pre stem-loop". It matches the Rfam family "mir-8/mir-141/mir-200 microRNA precursor family", at positions 6 to 67 of the family's 72-position model. Rfam says of the family: The bounds of the precursors are predicted based on conservation and base pairing and are not generally known. The record is from RNAcentral. Lineage: Eukaryota; Metazoa; Chordata; Actinopteri; Cypriniformes; Danionidae.
CAUCUUACAAGGCAGUUUUGGAUGUUAUAUCUUCUCUAAUACUGCCUGGUAAUGAUGCA